GACGAACGCUGGCGGCGUGCUUAACACAUGCAAGUCGAACGGAAAGGCCCUGCUUUUGUGGGGUGCUCGAGUGGCGAACGGGUGAGUAACACGUGAGUAACCUGCCCUUGACUUUGGGAUAACUUCAGGAAACUGGGGCUAAUACCGGAUAGGAGCUCCUGCUGCAUGGUGGGGGUUGGAAAGUUUCGGCGGUUGGGGAUGGACUCGCGGCUUAUCAGCUUGUUGGUGGGGUAGUGGCUUACCAAGGCUUUGAAGGGUAGCCGGCCUGAGAGGGUGGCCGGCCACAUUGGGACUGAGAUACGGCCCAGACUCCUACGGUAGGCAGCAGUGGGGAAUAUUGCACAAUGGGCGGAAGCCUGAUGCAGCAACGCCGCGUGCGGGAUGACGGCCUUCGGGUUGUAAACCGCUUUCGCCUGUGACGAAGCGUGAGUGACGGUAAUGGGUAAAGAAGCACCGGCUAACUACGUG
RNAcentral lists this ribosomal RNA (468 nucleotides) under uncultured bacterium. Its description in RNAcentral is "partial 16S ribosomal RNA". It matches the Rfam family "Bacterial small subunit ribosomal RNA", at positions 28 to 507 of the family's 1533-position model. The record is from RNAcentral.